GAGUUUGAUCUUGGCUCAGAGCGAACGCUGGCGGCGUGCCUAACACAUGCAAGUCGAACGUGAACGGGGGCAACCCCUAGUAAAGUGGCGUACGGGUGAGUAACGCGUAGGUAAUCUACCCUAGAGUCUGGAAUAACCUGCCGAAAGGCGGGCUAAUACUGGAUAGAGCGGUUGGUUCGUAAACGGACUGACUGGGAAAGGGAGCUUGAAAGAGCCCUUGCUUUAGGAUGAGCCUGCGUCCCAUCAGCUAGUUGGUAAGGUAACGGCUUACCAAGGCAAUGACGGGUAGCUGGUCUGAGAGGAUGAUCAGCCACACUGGAACUGAAACACGGUCCAGACUCCUACGGGAGGCAGCAGUGGGGAAUCUUGCGC
This 372-nucleotide ribosomal RNA is filed under the name uncultured delta proteobacterium. Its description in RNAcentral is "bacterial SSU rRNA". It matches the Rfam family "Bacterial small subunit ribosomal RNA", at positions 9 to 369 of the family's 1533-position model. The record is from RNAcentral. Lineage: Bacteria; Deltaproteobacteria.